RNAcentral lists this transfer RNA (74 nucleotides) under Actinomycetes bacterium. Its description in RNAcentral is "Actinobacteria bacterium tRNA-Gln". It matches the Rfam family "tRNA". Rfam says of the family: Transfer RNA (tRNA) molecules are approximately 80 nucleotides in length. Their secondary structure includes four short double-helical elements and three loops (D, anti-codon, and T loops). Further hydrogen bonds mediate the characteristic L-shaped molecular structure. tRNAs have two regions of fundamental functional importance: the anti-codon, which is responsible for specific mRNA codon recognition, and the 3' end, to which the tRNAs corresponding amino acid is attached (by aminoacyl-tRNA synthetases). tRNAs cope with the degeneracy of the genetic code in two manners: having more than one tRNA (with a specific anti-codon) for a particular amino acid; and 'wobble' base-pairing, i.e. permitting non-standard base-pairing at the 3rd anti-codon position. Lineage: Bacteria; Bacillati; Actinomycetota; Actinomycetes. The record is from RNAcentral.
UGCGGGCUGGUGUAAUGGCAACACGCCUGCCUCUGGAGCAGGAAUUCGGGGUUCGAGUCCCUGGCCCGCAGCCU